This 753-nucleotide ribosomal RNA is filed under the name uncultured bacterium. Its description in RNAcentral is "bacterial SSU rRNA". It matches the Rfam family "Bacterial small subunit ribosomal RNA", at positions 580 to 1331 of the family's 1533-position model. The record is from RNAcentral.
UUUUUAAGUUUGAUGUGAAAGCCCACGGCUCAACCGUGGAGGGUCAUUGGAAACUGGAAAACUUGAGUGCAGAAGAGGAAAGUGGAAUUCCAUGUGUAGCGGUGAAAUGCGCAGAGAUAUGGAGGAACACCAGUGGCGAAGGCGACUUUCUGGUCUGUAACUGACGCUGAUGUGCGAAAGCGUGGGGAUCAAACAGGAUUAGAUACCCUGGUAGUCCACGCCGUAAACGAUGAGUGCUAAGUGUUAGGGGGUUUCCGCCCCUUAGUGCUGCAGCUAACGCAUUAAGCACUCCGCCUGGGGAGUACGACCGCAAGGUUGAAACUCAAAGGAAUUGACGAGGACCCGCACAAGCGGUGGAGCAUGUGGUUUAAUUCGAAGCAACGCGAAGAACCUUACCAAAUCUUGACAUCCUCUGACCCCUCUAGAGAUAGAGGUUUCCCCUUCGGGGGACAGAGUGACAGGUGGUGCAUGGUUGUCGUCAGCUCGUGUCGUGAGAUGUUGGGUUAAGUCCCGCAACGAGCGCAACCCUUAAUCUUAGUUGCCAUCAUUAAGUUGGGCACUCUAAGUUGACUGCCGGUGACAAACCGGAGGAAGGUGGGGAUGACGUCAAAUCAUCAUGCCCCUUAUGAUUUGGGCUACACACGUGCUACAAUGGACAAUACAAAGGGCAGCGAAACCGCGAGGUCAAGCAAAUCCCAUAAAGUUGUUCUCAGUUCGGAUUGUAGUCUGCAACUCGACUAUAUGAAGCUGGAA